This 253-nucleotide ribosomal RNA is filed under the name uncultured bacterium. Its description in RNAcentral is "partial 16S ribosomal RNA". It matches the Rfam family "Bacterial small subunit ribosomal RNA", at positions 524 to 776 of the family's 1533-position model. The record is from RNAcentral.
UACGUAGGGUGCAAACGUUGUUCGGAAUUACUGGGCGUAAAGCGCGUGUAGGCUGCUUCGAAAGUCGGAUGUGAAAGCCCUGGGCUCAACCUAGGAAGUGCAUUCGAAACUUCGAAGCUUGAGUUCUGGAGAGGAAGGCGGAAUUCUCGGUGUAGAGGUGAAAUUCGUAGAUAUCGAGAGGAACACCGGUGGCGAAGGCGGCCUUCUGGACAGUGACUGACGCUGAGACGCGAAAGCGUGGGGAGCAAACAGG